Molecule: ribosomal RNA, 117 nt
Filed under: uncultured bacterium
Lineage: Bacteria
Description: partial 16S ribosomal RNA
Rfam family: Bacterial small subunit ribosomal RNA
Source: RNAcentral
UACGGUGAAUACGUUCCCGGACCUUGUACACACCGCCCCGUCAAGCCAUGGAAGCUGGGUGUACCUAAAGUCGGUAACCGCAAGGAGCCGCCUAGGGUAAAACUAGUAACUGGGGCU